Molecule: ribosomal RNA, 497 nt
Filed under: uncultured bacterium
Lineage: Bacteria
Description: partial 16S ribosomal RNA
Rfam family: Bacterial small subunit ribosomal RNA
Source: RNAcentral
GAUGAACGCUGGCGGCGUGCCUAAUACAUGCAAGUCGAGCGAACGGACGAGAAGCUUGCUUCUCUGAUGUUAGCGGCGGACGGGUGAGUAACACGUGGAUAACCUACCUAUAAGACUGGGAUAACUUCGGGAAACCGGAGCUAAUACCGGAUGAUAUUUUGAACCGCAUGGUUCAAAAGUGAAAGACGGUCUUGCUGUCACUUAUAGAUGGAUCCGCGCCGCAUUAGCUAGUUGGUAAGGUAACGGCUUACCAAGGCAACGAUGCAUAGCCGACCUGAGAGGGUGAUCGGCCACACUGGAACUGAGGCACGGUCCAGACUCCUACGGGAGGCAGCAGUAGGGAAUCUUCCGCAAUGGGCGAAAGCCUGACGGAGCAACGCCGCGUGAGUGAUGAAGGUCUUCGGAUCGUAAAACUCUGUUAUUAGGGAAGAACAUAUGUGUAAGUAACUGUGCACAUCUUGACGGUACCUAAUCAGAAAGCCACGGCUAACUACGUG